This 492-nucleotide ribosomal RNA is filed under the name uncultured bacterium. RNAcentral's name for it is "partial 16S ribosomal RNA". It matches the Rfam family "Bacterial small subunit ribosomal RNA", at positions 29 to 507 of the family's 1533-position model. The record is from RNAcentral.
AGUGAACGCUGGCGGUAGGCCUAACACAUGCAAGUCGAACGGCAGCACAGUAAGAGCUUGCUCUUACGGGUGGCGAGUGGCGGACGGGUGAGGAAUACAUCGGAAUCUACUUUUUCGUGGGGGAUAACGUAGGGAAACUUACGCUAAUACCGCAUACGAUCUACGGGUGAAAGCAGGGGAUCUUCGGACCUUGCGCGAUUGAAUUAGCCGAUGUCGGAUUAGCUAGUUGGCGGGGUAAAGGCCCACCAAGGCGACGAUACGUAGCUGGUCUGAGAGGAUGAUCGGCCACACUGGAACUGAGACACGGUCCAGACUCCUACGGGAGGCAGCAGUGGGGAAUAUUGGGCAAUGGGCGCAAGCCUGAUCCAGCCAUACCGCGUGGGUGAAGAAGGCCUUCGGGUUGUAAAGCCCUUUUGUUGGGAAAGAAAAGCAGCAGGUGAAUACCCCGCUGUUCUGACGGUACCCAAAGAGUAAGCACCGGCUAACUUCGUG